Molecule: unclassified non-coding RNA, 366 nt
Filed under: uncultured bacterium
Lineage: Bacteria
Description: contains 16S-23S intergenic spacer region
Source: RNAcentral
UCCCCGUUACCGAGGCAGUCUGAAUAGAAAAAUACAACUAUUCACGAGGGUUGCGCUCGUUUAAGGACUUAACCUGACAUCUCACGACACGAGCUGACGACGGCCAUGCAUCACCUGUCACUGGUCCAGCCGAACUGACGCUCUAAUCUCUUAGAGCUGCGACCAGGAUGUCAAACCUGGGUAAGGUUCUUCGCGUAGCCUCGAAUUAAACCACACGCUCCUCUGCUUGUGCGGCUCCCCGUCAAUUCCUUUGAGUUUUAGCCUUGCGGCCGUAGUCCCCAGGCGGGAUGCUUAACGCGUUAGCUUCGUUACCGAUCGGGUCGAUGCGACCGACAACCAGCAUCCAUCGUUUACGGCGUGGACUAC